AAAAAAGAUCGACUUCCGGGUCGAGUCGAUGUUUAACCAAACCUAAAAUUCUCCUCUGCGCCUCCCUUCUCUUUCUGUCAUCUCUCGCCCACUAACCAAACCUAGUCUCCCUCUGCCUCUCCUCUCCACUCCAACGGCGCUAAAGUUUCUCAUCUGUUCAUCUCAGAUCUGGUCUCUCUUUCUGUCUCUCUCUCUCUCUCUCUCUCGGUCUCAGGUGUCGCACCGUCGCAGCCUCUCCUUUGUUGGUCGGCCGUCAAUCAACCCCUCUGAGGAAACUGCAUUCAAGAUUAGGAAAUUUUACAUCCUGCAGCUAUUGCAUCCGAAACUAGAAGGUCCAACAAAAUAGAAGGAGGAUUUGCUGCCCAAUUCGAAGGCAGAGACCCGCGGAGAUGGGCCUUAGCAGCCCAGUCCGCUACAGUGUUUGUUUCACGCCUUCUAAACCUAAGUUGCAGCUGUGAAAAACAGGGUAAGAGUGCGACAACUUCAGCAAGAAGACUCCGAACCUCCCAUGGCGUCGUGUACGGAUCAUUAACAGCUUCAACCAACGUUUUGCAGUCAGAAUCUAUGAUGACUUUCUCAGUUACUCUACCUCGCUUCAGAAGGUCAUUAAAUGCUAGGGUUAGCGCCUGGAUUUCAACCUGAAGAGCGGAAGAAGCAUCUACAGCACAUAACAUCCGGAUCUGGAGCAGUCCAAAGUGAAUCGGGACCGGCAGUUUUUUGCAAUGAACCGGUCAAGGCAGAGGUGGUCUGUUGUGCCAGACAAACCUGGAGUAGGCCUUUUUCGACAACAAACGUUGGAUCUGGCCAUUUAUGAGAGAAAGUAAAUCGAUUCCGAGCCUUCCAGAUUUGCCACAGGAGAGCGCCUACAAUGUCCAGACCAGGUGAGUUCCUGUGCUGAGUAAGUCUGUCUUCUAUCCAAGCGUCUAUACAACGAAUUUCUGUUGGUAUAAUGUGAAUGCCGAUUUGUGGGUGAGACCAGACCUUUAAAGUCCAUGGGCAUAGGAGAAACAAAUGUUCCAGCGUUUCUGGCAUGUGGGUAGCGCAUAAUGCACACACUGGGUCUGGGCUAAUAUGUCUCUGAAAUAGGUUAUCUCUGGUAGGAAGAGCGUUUUGACAAAUGGACCAUAGAAAAAUCCUAAUUUUGGGUGGGAGAUGAAGUUUCCAUAUACUUUUCCAGAGUAAGUUAGGUGGUUGAUAAGAUGAGGAGGCUCUGUUCUCAUUAGUGGUAGAUGUUGUGCGUCUGAUAGUAUGAUAUCCUCGCUUAACCGAGUACUGUCCGUGAGGAUCAUCUGUCCAAAUCAACUGAUCUGCUGUAUGAUGUGGCCUAAUUGGGAUUGCCUGGAUUUCUGUUGUUGUCUCAACGUCAAAAAAGCGAUGCAGUAAGGAAACAUCCCAUCGGUUAUGUUCUGGUUCAAUCAGUUCAGCGACCAUCUUAGGUUCGUCUCUAGCAGCAGGUCCGACUAGUUUUCCCCUAGAUAACCACUGAUCCUCACGUAUUCUGAUGUGAGUCCCAUCACCAAUAGACCAUUGCAGCUUUGAUAAAAUAGACUCCCGUCCUAAUAGAAUACUCCGCCAACCCCAGGAGGGCCGAGCUCCUCUGGCAGCACAUAGAAAAUCUUGCGAAUGGAAAUAUAGACCUUUGAAUAGUUGAGUCCACAGAGAUGAAGGUUGCUGAAGCAAGCGCCAGGCUUGUUUGCCUAGCAUUGCUCUAUUAAAAGCAAUGAGAUCUUUAAAACCAAGACCUCCCAACUCCUUCCUGUUUUUAAGAAUGUUCCAGUCUUUCCAAUGUAUGCCUUGCCGUUGACUAUUGUUCUUCCACCAGAAGCUUGCUAUCUUUUUUUCUAUGGACUGACAUAGUGAGUGAGGAAUUUUAAAGAUAGACAUAGCAUAAUGUGGUAUCGCCUAAACGACGGCCUUGAUGAGAAUCUCCUUUCCUCCCUUCGAAAUCAGGUUUUCUUUCCAUCCUUCCAGUUUUCUAUUCACUCUUGCCAGCAUCCAGGCAAACAUAUCUCUCUUAGAACGUCCCCAAUCAGACGAGAUUCCUAGGUAUUUACCCGUCCUAUCUAAGAUAGGGAUGCGAAAUUCAUUCGCCAUAUUCUCUUUAAGGCUGCUGGGACAAUCUUUACUAGAGAAAAGACCUGAUUUAUUCCGAUUGACAGCUUGACCCGUAGCCAUACAAUACUGAUUCAGAA
Molecule: long non-coding RNA, 2192 nt
Organism: Eucalyptus grandis
Lineage: Eukaryota; Viridiplantae; Streptophyta; Magnoliopsida; Myrtales; Myrtaceae
Exons: 3
Source: RefSeq, a predicted model, not a curated record